UUGUUCACAUCGUGGAUACAGACUAUGACGAAUACAACAUUUUCCACAUGGAAAACAAGGGGAAGAAGAUCCUCUAUCUGGAUUCUAGGGAAUCCAGAGUCUCAGCUACAGUGAAGAAACACUUCAAGAACCUGGCUUUUGCUUUGGGAUUCCCUGUGGACAGGAUCCGCUAUGUGCCCCCAAAUGAGUCAUGCUCAUAGUCUUUAUCAAAGAAGCCCAGCCAGGUAAAUCUGAAGAACUGUGGAAGAGAACAUCUGGAGAAGGGGAGAUCUUCAUAGAACCCAUGUUUACUAUGCAGCUAAUAAAGCCAAGCUGUCAUGAUUGGC
This is a non-coding RNA of Anolis sagrei ordinatus, 326 nucleotides long. Lineage: Eukaryota; Metazoa; Chordata; Lepidosauria; Squamata; Anolidae. The record is from RefSeq and is a predicted model, not a curated record.